AGCGAACGCUGGCGGCAGGCCUAACACAUGCAAGUCGAACGAACCUUUCUGGGUUAGUGGCGCACGGGUGAGUAACACGUGGUAACGUUCCUUUAGGUUCGGAAUAACUCAGUUAAACUUGUGCUAAUACCGAAUGUGCCCUUCGGUGGAAAUAUUUAUCGCCGUUAGAUCGGCCUGCCUCCUAAUAGCUAGUUGGUUGAGGUUAUGGCUCACCAAGGCGACGAUCAUAAGCUGGUCUGUGAGGAUGAUCAGACACAUUGGGACUGUCACACGGCCCAAAAUCCUACGGGAGGGAGCAGUGGCGCAUCGUGAGGAAUGGAUGAAAGACAGACGCAGCCAUGACGCGUGAAUGAUGAAGGGCUUAGGAAUGUAAAAUGCUUUCACCGGCGACGGUAAUGACGGUACCCGAAGAAGAAGCCCCGGCUAACUUCGUG
RNAcentral lists this ribosomal RNA (434 nucleotides) under uncultured bacterium. RNAcentral describes it as "partial 16S ribosomal RNA". It matches the Rfam family "Bacterial small subunit ribosomal RNA", at positions 29 to 507 of the family's 1533-position model. The record is from RNAcentral.